Molecule: long non-coding RNA, 1224 nt
Organism: Felis catus (domestic cat)
Lineage: Eukaryota; Metazoa; Chordata; Mammalia; Carnivora; Felidae
Exons: 2
Source: RefSeq, a predicted model, not a curated record
UCCGUUUCAUGAAUUUAAAGGUAAUGCACAACACUUCAAAGACACGUUAUGCUACGGCCGAUGCCAUUAGGUAUCCAAUCAGGGUCCUGCAGUGGGUAGUGUUAUGGGUUGAAUUGAACCCCACCAAAUCUGUUGAAGUCCUAAACCCUACUACCUCAGAAUGUGAACCAAUUUGGGCAAGAGGGUCAUGGCGGGUGUAAUUAGUUUAGAGGGGUCAUACUGGAGUAGCGUAGGUCCUUACAAAAAGGGGGAAAUUUGGACAUAGACACGCACACAGGGAGAAUGCCAUGUGAAGAUGGAGGCAGAGAUGCGGAUGAUGUGUUUACAAGCCAGAGUGCCAAAGAUUGCCAGCAAACCCCCAGAAGCUGGGGAAGGGGCCUGGAAUAUAUUCUUUCUCAUAGGCUCAUAAGGAACCAACGGAGUCAACACAUUGAUUUCAGACUUCUGGCCUCCGGAACUGUGAGACAAUCCAUUUCCAUUGUCGAAGCCACUCGGUUUGUAGUACUUUGUUGUGGGAGCUCCGAACAAACAAAUCCAAGUCCAACAUGAGGUCCCUGUAAGCCGCCAAGCACCUUCAAAGGAUCAGGCUCAGGAAGAAAGGAAAACAAGAACACAGGCUGCUCCCCACAAGACUGGAAACCCAAGGUGGACACAGAUCCUCAGCAUAACACGGACACUGUUUAUUUUUGGUGAAUCACUCCUGCGUCACCAGGAGUGCUAGAAAGCUGGGGUAAAUGUGAUAUGCCAAGAGAUGUCUCUUUGUUUUGACAAGGCCACACGUAACAGAUUUGAUGCGUACCUGUGUCUGCUCCAAAGAAACAUGAACCAGCGACAGCCCAGUGCAUCUGCCUGAGUGCUCACCUCCAGUGCAAAUACACAGCCAGCUUCCUGCAGACUGCCAGCGACCGGGAGCCUGAAAACCUAUAGGAAGGCCUGAGUUUCUCAGGGGUGGGAGGGAGGCAGCCGUCCAGCACCACUGUGACCCAGAUUGGGGCUAUCUCUAAGGAUAUCACCAAUCCCUAGGAGCCAUACCCGGGAAAGAUCUCACUGCUUUCUUCUCCCUGCCAAGGGUUCCGCCCAAGGCGGUUUUAUAGGAAGGUGUCUUUCUUCUGAGAAGGAGACUAUCCCCGGGUCCAGCAAAAGAUGAGUAAAUGAUUACUGGAUGCUGUAAAAGGAUCUUGUGAAGUAUUUCUGUUGUCCAACAAAAAGGAUCUGGUUUUUACA